AUCAAAUUAAUACACCUUUUGGCAUGUCAGGGUCUGUGGGUAAUUACAGUUUAGUAUUGUGGUAAUAAUUUGUAUGAUUUAUGUUACCUAUAGAGCAGUACUGAAAGCCAAAAAACUGUCUGGCAUAAUUACUGUUAAGAGGGAAGAUCAGCAGAUAUCCCUAGCCAAAGGAACACAGCCCUAAGGGUGAUAGACUCAAACAAGAAGAAGUCACCUCAGGUAUUUGCUUUGCAGCGUGCCUUUUCUCACCUGAGAGAUGGCCCACCCAAGCUACAUUAACAAGAAUCACUUGCUUUUGAGCUGUUGUUUUCCAUCGACCCUGGAGUUCUCAUCUGAAAAAUGAGAUAUGUGUGGUGUGUGUGUGUCAGAAUGUGUGUGGGGCCCUUUGCAAUGCUUAAUUCUUCUGAAAUGGCAGGAAAAAGUUGACAAGAAAAGUGUUUGCCAUGCAUAGAAGACAGAAAAUAUGUCUGGUGUCAUGUUCUCUGAGGGUUAUGGACUGAAGCUUCGACUAAGGAAGAUUAUGAACAAAGGCCAAUAUCCACAGAGGAGUGAAGCUAAAGUUGUUCAUGGAGGCCAACCAUCCUGCCAGAGAGCUAGAAGAUCCACUGUGAGAAAAUGUUAACAUCCUUUCUUGAAAUACCAGUCCCAUCAAGUGCUGUGGGGGCACGAAACUCCUGCAGAAAUUGUUUGGAAUAGAAAAAAUCUGCAAUCUCUGUUGAAAAUCAAGUUUUUGAGUAGAAAAAUAAAUAGAGAAAAAACAACCUGUCCUAAAAUAAU
Molecule: long non-coding RNA, 777 nt
Filed under: Anas platyrhynchos platyrhynchos (common mallard)
Lineage: Eukaryota; Metazoa; Chordata; Aves; Anseriformes; Anatidae
Description: lncRNA (ENSAPLG00000029293.1)
Source: RNAcentral